AGGAUGAACGCUGGCGGCGUGCCUAAUACAUGCAAGUCGAGCGAACAGACGAGGAGCUUGCUCCUCUGACGUUAGCGGCGGACGGGUGAGUAACACGUGGAUAACCUACCUAUAAGACUGGGAUAACUUCGGGAAACCGGAGCUAAUACCGGAUAAUAUAUUGAACCGCAUGGUUCAAUAGUGAAAGACGGUUUUGCUGUCACUUAUAGAUGGAUCCGCGCCGCAUUAGCUAGUUGGUAAGGUAACGGCUUACCAAGGCAACGAUGCGUAGCCGACCUGAGAGGGUGAUCGGCCACA
This 297-nucleotide ribosomal RNA is filed under the name Staphylococcus epidermidis CIM37. RNAcentral describes it as "partial 16S ribosomal RNA". It matches the Rfam family "Bacterial small subunit ribosomal RNA", at positions 26 to 312 of the family's 1533-position model. The record is from RNAcentral. Lineage: Bacteria; Bacillati; Bacillota; Bacilli; Caryophanales; Staphylococcaceae.